This 73-nucleotide transfer RNA is filed under the name Podarcis lilfordi (Lilford's wall lizard). RNAcentral's name for it is "tRNA.Ala". It matches the Rfam family "tRNA". From Rfam's summary of the family: Transfer RNA (tRNA) molecules are approximately 80 nucleotides in length. Their secondary structure includes four short double-helical elements and three loops (D, anti-codon, and T loops). Further hydrogen bonds mediate the characteristic L-shaped molecular structure. tRNAs have two regions of fundamental functional importance: the anti-codon, which is responsible for specific mRNA codon recognition, and the 3' end, to which the tRNAs corresponding amino acid is attached (by aminoacyl-tRNA synthetases). tRNAs cope with the degeneracy of the genetic code in two manners: having more than one tRNA (with a specific anti-codon) for a particular amino acid; and 'wobble' base-pairing, i.e. permitting non-standard base-pairing at the 3rd anti-codon position. Lineage: Eukaryota; Metazoa; Chordata; Lepidosauria; Squamata; Lacertidae. The record is from RNAcentral.
CAGGAUGGAGCUCAGCAGGAGAGCAUCUGCUUUGCAUGCAGAAGGUCUCAGGUUCAAUCUCUGGCAUCUCUGG